RNAcentral lists this long non-coding RNA (885 nucleotides) under Homo sapiens (human). RNAcentral describes it as "non-protein coding lnc-INSIG2-13:1". The record is from RNAcentral. Lineage: Eukaryota; Metazoa; Chordata; Mammalia; Primates; Hominidae.
GCCCGCGCGCCACGAACGUGCCCGACAAGCCGCGCCGCUUAAUUUCUGAAGAGAUUUAUAUUUUUUUUGUUGUCAGGAAAUGAACAAAUACUUAUCAAUGUAAAAACUGCUAUCUCCGAUCUCCCCGCCGGGUUUUUCAUACUGAUAUUCUUUGCACCCCGUAACACAGGAAAUGAAAAUCUUCUCCGCCUCUCACGUCGCCGCUGCGCCUUCAAAUCCUCUGCGAGCAGACUGGCCUCCCCCCACCGGCCCCCUCCCGGGCUCCCCUCCCCGGAUGAAAAAGUAUUCCCUUUCAGCAUGAGGAAUCGUGGGCCCUGGGGCUUGUAUUGAUUCAGAACAAGGCCUCAUAAAACACUAGCAGGUGAUUUAGUUUCAUAUUUUGAUUCCUUUGUUUAGACAGUUUCUCUCAGGUUCUCCUGUGUCGGCCCGGGGACCCCAGCAUCCCUCCUUUGAUGUUGGAGGGACACCCGGGCCGUCGAGCUCGCCCCGCUCUUGUGGGUGACUUUGUGCUCUUGAGGGCGCAGCAUUUCCCAAGGUUCUCCCCCACCCUCACCCGGCGAGCCCAGGCUCUGCGGUCAGGCUCUCAAAUCCUGCAAGGAUUGAUGGUCCUCACAGAGGGAUCAAUACUACAUUUUAAAUAUUACAAUACCUUUUAUUGAGACACUAUUACAACACAAAUGUUUUACCCUGUCACGGGACCCAGUUAAAAUUGCUUUUGACCAUCUUAUUGGUGGGCUUCCCCGGCCCUCUGUGUUUCCCACUUCUGGGAGGAGUCACUGUGCUCCCGGGAUGGGCUGGCCCCGCCCAGGAGGCCUGGGAAGGAGGAGGAUGCAGCCUGGGAGGGCUGUGGGGCACCUGGGGAGUGCUGCAGAAACUGGCUGUUGC